AUGCCUAUGAUCCCAGCAAAGGAUGAGAGAAAGCUUACAAGAACUUAUCCUCAGUUGCUGUUGCUGAGGCAGAAACUGUGGGUGGGAGCAUGGUGUGCAAAAAUAUGUGAAAAGACACUUGGUACUGUUCUCACUCCUGAUACAAGGAAAGAUGGUGCAAGGAAUACCACAGAAAGUGGCAGAGGAAAACUGAAUGAAAAUAAAGCUUUGACUUCAAAGAAAGCAAGAUUUGGUCCAUAUGGAAAGAACAAAUUCUCCACUUGCAGAAUUUGUAAAAGUUCUGUACACCAACCAGGUUCUCAUUAUUGCCAGGGCUGUGCCUACAAAAAGGGCAUCUGUGCAAUGUGUGGCAAGAAGGUUUUGGAUACCAAAAACUACAAGCAAACGUCUGUCUAGAUGUGUUGAUGAAGUUUCUGGCUGGCUGUGAUUUUACUUUCUGCUUUGGCUUUUCAAGGCAUCAUAUAGAUAUUCAACUUAAAAAGUAACAUAUUUCAAGACAAAUGGCUAAGUUUAAACCAGGGAAGUUGAUCAGUCGUUAUUAUUUUGUUCGGCAAAGGUUCUUAAAGCAGCAAUGUAAGUCAACUUACGCUGU
This is an RNA transcript of Dipodomys ordii (Ord's kangaroo rat), 592 nucleotides long. It is a transcript of the gene named cysteine-rich PDZ-binding protein pseudogene, with no coding region annotated. The transcript has a single exon. The record is from RefSeq and is a predicted model, not a curated record. Lineage: Eukaryota; Metazoa; Chordata; Mammalia; Rodentia; Heteromyidae.